RNAcentral lists this ribosomal RNA (253 nucleotides) under uncultured bacterium. RNAcentral describes it as "partial 16S ribosomal RNA". It matches the Rfam family "Bacterial small subunit ribosomal RNA", at positions 524 to 776 of the family's 1533-position model. The record is from RNAcentral.
UACAGAGGGUGCAAGCGUUAAUCGGAAUUACUGGGCGUAAAGCGCGCGUAGGUGGUUCGUUAAGUUGGAUGUGAAAUCCCCGGGCUCAACCUGGGAACUGCAUUCAAAACUGUCGAGCUAGAGUAUGGUAGAGGGUGGUGGAAUUUCCUGUGUAGCGGUGAAAUGCGUAGAUAUAGGAAGGAACACCAGUGGCUAAGGCGACCACCUGGACUGAUACUGACACUGAGGUGCGAAAGCGUGGGGAGCAAACAGG